This 2903-nucleotide ribosomal RNA is filed under the name Proteus appendicitidis. RNAcentral's name for it is "Proteus sp. HZ0627 23S ribosomal RNA". It matches the Rfam family "Bacterial large subunit ribosomal RNA". Lineage: Bacteria; Pseudomonadati; Pseudomonadota; Gammaproteobacteria; Enterobacterales; Morganellaceae. The record is from RNAcentral.
GGUUAAGCGAAUAAGCGUACACGGUGGAUGCCUAGGCAAUCAGAGGCGAUGAAGGACGUGCUAAUCUGCGAUAAGCGUCGGUAAGGUGAUAUGAACCGUUAUACCCGACGAUUUCCGAAUGGGGAAACCCAAUAUCCAAUGGAUAUUAUCAUUAACUGAAUACAUAGGUUAAUGAAGCGAACCGGGAGAACUGAAACAUCUCAGUACCCCGAGGAAAAGAAAUCAACCGAGAUUCCCCUAGUAGCGGCGAGCGAACGGGGAACAGCCCAGAGUCUUAAUCAAUAGCAGCAUCAGGAGAACGGUCUGGAAAGUCCGGCAGUAAAGGGUGAUAGCCCCGUAUCUGAAGAUGCUGUUAUUGUGAACUCGACGAGUAGGGCGGGACACGUGUUAUCCUGUCUGAAUAUGGGGGGACCAUCCUCCAAGGCUAAAUACUCCUGAUUGACCGAUAGUGAACCAGUACCGUGAGGGAAAGGCGAAAAGAACCCCGGCGAGGGGAGUGAAAAAGAACCUGAAACCGUGUACGUACAAGCAGUAGGAGCCUCUUCGUGAGGUGACUGCGUACCUUUUGUAUAAUGGGUCAGCGACUUAUAUUCUGUAGCAAGGUUAACCGUAUAGGGGAGCCGUAGGGAAACCGAGUCUUAACUGGGCGAAUGAGUUGCAGGGUAUAGACCCGAAACCCGGUGAUCUAUCCAUGGGCAGGUUGAAGGUUGGGUAACACUAACUGGAGGACCGAACCGACUAAUGUUGAAAAAUUAGCGGAUGACUUGUGGAUGGGGGUGAAAGGCCAAUCAAACCGGGAGAUAGCUGGUUCUCCCCGAAAGCUAUUUAGGUAGCGCCUCGUGAACUCAUCUUCGGGGGUAGAGCACUGUUUCGACUAGGGGGUCAUCCCGACUUACCAACUCGAUGCAAACUGCGAAUACCGAAGAAUGUUAUCACGGGAGACACACGGCGGGUGCUAACGUCCGUCGUGAAGAGGGAAACAACCCAGACCGCCAGCUAAGGUCCCAAAGUCAUGGUUAAGUGGGAAACGAAGUGGGAAGGCUCAGACAGCCAGGAUGUUGGCUUAGAAGCAGCCAUCAUUUAAAGAAAGCGUAAUAGCUCACUGGUCGAGUCGGCCCGCGCGGAAGAUGUAACGGGGCUAAACCAUGCACCGAAGCUGCGGCAGCGACACUAUGUGUUGUUGGGUAGGGGAGCGUUCUGUAAGCCUGCGAAGGUGUACUGUGAGGUAUGCUGGAGGUAUCAGAAGUGCGAAUGCUGACAUAAGUAACGAUAAUGCGGGUGAAAAACCCGCACGCCGGAAGACCAAGGGUUCCUGUCCAACGUUAAUCGGGGCAGGGUGAGUCGACCCCUAAGGCGAGGCUGAAAAGCGUAGUCGAUGGGAAACGGGUUAAUAUUCCCGUACUGGUGGUAACUGCGAUGGGGGAACGGAGAAGGCUAGGUUGUCCGGGCGACGGUCGUCCCGGUUCAAGCAUGUAGGCAGAGUGAUUAGGCAAAUCCGGUCACUUAAUGCUGAGGUGUGAUGACGAGCCACUAAGGUGGUGAAGCAAUUGAUGCCCUGCUUCCAGGAAAAGCCUCUAAGCUUCAGGUUACCAACAAUCGUACCCCAAACCGACACAGGUGGUCAGGUAGAGAAUACUCAGGCGCUUGAGAGAACUCGGGUGAAGGAACUAGGCAAAAUGGUGCCGUAACUUCGGGAGAAGGCACGCUGGCGGUAAGUGAAGUCCCUUGCGGACGGAGCCGAAGCCAGUCGAAGAUACCAGCUGGCUGCAACUGUUUAUUAAAAACACAGCACUGUGCAAACACGAAAGUGGACGUAUACGGUGUGACGCCUGCCCGGUGCUGGAAGGUUAAUUGAUGGGGUUAUCCUUAGGGAGAAGCUCUUGAUCGAAGCCCCAGUAAACGGCGGCCGUAACUAUAACGGUCCUAAGGUAGCGAAAUUCCUUGUCGGGUAAGUUCCGACCUGCACGAAUGGCGUAAUGAUGGCCAGGCUGUCUCCACCCGAGACUCAGUGAAAUUGAACUCGCUGUGAAGAUGCAGUGUACCCGCGGCAAGACGGAAAGACCCCGUGAACCUUUACUAUAGCUUGACACUGAACAUUGAGCCUUGAUGUGUAGGAUAGGUGGGAGACUAUGAAGUGUGGACGCCAGUCUGCAUGGAGUCAACCUUGAAAUACCACCCUUUAACGUUUGAUGUUCUAACCUAGGUCCAUAAUCUGGAUCGGGGACCGUGUCUGGUGGGUAGUUUGACUGGGGCGGUCUCCUCCUAAAGAGUAACGGAGGAGCACGAAGGUUGGCUAAGCAUGGUCGGACAUCAUGCGGUUAGUGCAAAGGCAUAAGCCAGCUUGACUGUGAGAGUGACGGCUCGAGCAGGUACGAAAGUAGGUCUUAGUGAUCCGGUGGUUCUGAAUGGAAGGGCCAUCGCUCAACGGAUAAAAGGUACUCCGGGGAUAACAGGCUGAUACCGCCCAAGAGUUCAUAUCGACGGCGGUGUUUGGCACCUCGAUGUCGGCUCAUCACAUCCUGGGGCUGAAGUAGGUCCCAAGGGUAUGGCUGUUCGCCAUUUAAAGUGGUACGCGAGCUGGGUUUAGAACGUCGUGAGACAGUUCGGUCCCUAUCUGCCGUGGGCGUUGGAAGAUUGAGAGGGGUUGCUCCUAGUACGAGAGGACCGGAGUGAACGCACCACUGGUGUUCGGGUUGUCAUGCCAAUGGCAUUGCCCGGUAGCUAAGUGCGGAAGAGAUAACCGCUGAAAGCAUCUAAGCGGGAAACUUGCCUCGAGAUGAGUCUUCCCUGUCACCUAGAGUGACCUAAAGGAACGUUUAAGACUAAGACGUUGAUAGGCUGGGUGUGUAAGCGUAGCGAUACGUUGAGCUAACCAGUACUAAUGAACCGUGAGGCUUAACCUG